This 492-nucleotide ribosomal RNA is filed under the name uncultured bacterium. RNAcentral's name for it is "partial 16S ribosomal RNA". It matches the Rfam family "Bacterial small subunit ribosomal RNA", at positions 29 to 507 of the family's 1533-position model. The record is from RNAcentral.
AGUGAACGCUGGCGGUAGGCCUAACACAUGCCAGUCGAACGGCAGCACAGUAAGAGCUUGCUCUUACGGGUGGCGAGUGGCGGGCGGGUGAGGAAUACAUCGGAAUCUACUUUUUCGUGGGGGAUAACGUAGGGAAACUUACGCUAAUACCGCAUACGACCUACGGGUGUAAGGAGGGGAUCUUCUGACCUUUCGCGGUUGAAUUAGCCGAUGUCGGAUUAGCUAGUUGGGUGGGUAAAUGCCCACCAAGGCGACGAUACGUUGCUGGUCUGAGAGGAUGGUCGGCCACCCUGGAGCUGGGACAAGCUCCAGGCUCCUGAGGGAGGCCGCAGUGGGGAAUAUUGGACAAUGGGGGCAAACCUGAUCCAGACAUAACGAGUGGGUGGAGGAGGCCCUCCGGUUGUAAAGCCCUUUUGUUGGGAAAGAAAAGCAGCAGGUUAAUACGCCGCUGUUCUGACGGUACCCAAAGAAUAAGCACCGGCUAACUUCGUG